AUUUAAGUUUAGGGUUUUUUUCUUUUGUUAUUGUUUAAUAUGUUGAGUUUAUAUAUAUAAGAAAAGUUAAGAAUGAGAGGAGUAGAUAAGGGAGAUGAGAUGAGGAAGAGUUCGGUAACUACUUCUACUCCAAUGGUCUUAGAUACGUUUCUGGUGAAGAGUCGUGCAAGUUAUGAUGUGGAUAUAUGAAGUACGUUCCAAUUUUAGCCAUCUACAACCUCAGCUUUCCUCAAUGUCUUCCCACUGUCUUGACACUUCUUCUCAACUCACUGUACAAGAAAAUUUCCACAGUGAUGCUGAGAUGAACCCACCAAAAAACGAUGCUAGACUACAAUAUUGGAAGUGGGAAACAAGGAAACAAGGCAGCUACUGAGAUAAACAGCAAGUCUUACAAGGAGAUGAGCCAAAUGCAUACUUUAAGAGGAGUAACUCAUGUCCAUAAAGAUUAUGACGUCUCCUCUCCAAAUGCCCUCAACAUAAUGCCUCUUUGGGCUCACCAUUCUUGAGUCAGAUUUCAAUUUAUUUACAAAGAAUGUUUUUUUGGAUAUCAUGGGUUCUAAUACCACAUUAGAUAAACGUGGAGUUCUAUCUCAAAAUAAAACCUAGUUUUGCAAGAAUCCGUAAA
This is a long non-coding RNA of Cucumis melo (muskmelon), 625 nucleotides long. RefSeq lists it as uncharacterized. NCBI's taxonomy places the organism in Eukaryota, Viridiplantae, Streptophyta, Magnoliopsida, Cucurbitales, Cucurbitaceae. The transcript is spliced from 2 exons. The record is from RefSeq and is a predicted model, not a curated record.